CAGAACUGGCGAAUGAUGCUUAAUGACACCGGUUUACCUAGACAGUUCAAGCAACCACCGAUGAUGUGCUAUCAAAGAGGCAAGAACCUAAGAGACCUACUGGUUAAGAACGACCCCACACACUGCUAUGAUCAACCUACAACUCAUCUCAAUUUGGGAUGUUACAGGUGCCUGGAGUGCGUAACAUGUAGUCACAUGUUACCAAGCAAGACGUUCACCCAUCCGCACACUGGUAAGAAAUAUACUAUUAGGCAUAGACUUAUCUGUACCAGCGAUUAC
Non-coding RNA from Pelobates cultripes (western spadefoot toad), 279 nucleotides. Lineage: Eukaryota; Metazoa; Chordata; Amphibia; Anura; Pelobatidae. The record is from the annotation of a GenBank genome assembly.